This 569-nucleotide ribosomal RNA is filed under the name Cladosporium cladosporioides. RNAcentral describes it as "eukaryotic LSU rRNA". The stretch from base 150 to 303 matches the Rfam family "5.8S ribosomal RNA". The record is from RNAcentral. Lineage: Eukaryota; Fungi; Ascomycota; Dothideomycetes; Cladosporiales; Cladosporiaceae.
GGCUCCGGCCGGGGAUGUUCAUAACCCUUUGUUGUCCGACUCUGUUGCCUCCGGGGCGACCCUGCCUUUUCACGGGCGGGGGCCCCGGGUGGACACAUCAAAACUCUUGCGUAACUUUGCAGUCUGAGUAAAUUUAAUUAAUAAAUUAAAACUUUCAACAACGGAUCUCUUGGUUCUGGCAUCGAUGAAGAACGCAUCGAAAUGCGAUAAGUAAUGUGAAUUGCAGAAUUCAGUGAAUCAUCGAAUCUUUGAACGCACAUUGCGCCCCCUGGUAUUCCGGGGGGCAUGCCUGUUCGAGCGUCAUUUCACCACUCAAGCCUCGCUUGGUAUUGGGCGACGCGGUCCGCCGCGCGCCUCAAAUCGACCGGCUGGGUCUUCUGUCCCCUCAGCGUUGUGGAAACUAUUCGCUAAAGGGUGCCACGGGAGGCCACGCCGAAAAACAAACCCAUUUCUAAGGUUGACCUCGGAUCAGGUAGGGAUACCCGCUGAACUUAAGCAUAUCAAUAAGCGGAGACCUCGGAUCAGGUAGGAAUACCCGCUGAACUUAAGCAUAUCAAUAAGCGGAGGAA